CGAGCAGUAGGGGUUCUGAGAGGAAGGUCCCCCACAUUGGAACUGAGACACGGUCCAAACUCCUACGGGAGGCAGCAGUGAGGAAUAUUGGUCAAUGGGCGAGAGCCUGAACCAGCCAAGUAGCGUGCAGGAAGACGGCCCUAUGGGUUGUAAACUGCUUUUAUAAGGGAAUAAAGUGAGUCUCGUGAGACUUUUUGCAUGUACCUUAUGAAUAAGGACCGGCUAAUUCCGUGCCAGCAGCCGCGGUAAUACGGAAGGUCCGGGCGUUAUCCGGAUUUAUUGGGUUUAAAGGGAGCGUAGGCCGGAGAUUAAGCGUGUUGUGAAAUGUAGACGCUCAACGUCUGCACUGCAGCGCGAACUGGUUUCCUUGAGUACGCACAAAGUGGGCGGAAUUCGUGGUGUAGCGGUGAAAUGCUUAGAUAUCACGAAGAACUCCGAUUGCGAAGGCAGCUCACUGGAGCGCAACUGACGCUGAAGCUCGAAAGUGCGGGUAUCGAACAGGAUUAGAUACCCUGGUAGUCCGCACGGUAAACGAUGGAUGCCCGCUGUUGGUCUGAACAGGUCAGCGGCCAAGCGAAAGCAUUAAGCAUCCCACCUGGGGAGUACGCCGGCAACGGUGAAACUCAAAGGAAUUGACGGGGGCCCGCACAAGCGGAGGAACAUGUGGUUUAAUUCGAUGAUACGCGAGGAACCUUACCCGGGCUUGAAUUGCAGAGGAAGGAUUUGGAGACAAUGACGCCCUUCGGGGUCUCUGUGAAGGUGCUGCAUGGUUGUCGUCAGCUCGUGCCGUGAGGUGUCGGCUUAAGUGCCAUAACGAGCGCAACCCCUCUCCUUAGUUGCCAUCAGGUUAAGCUGGGCACUCUGGGGACACUGCCACCGUAAGGUGUGAGGAAGGUGGGGAUGACGUCAAAUCAGCACGGCCCUUACGUCCGGGGCUACACACGUGUUACAAUGGCAGGUACAGAGAGACGGUUGUACGUAAGUACGAUCAAAUCCUUAAAGCCUGUCUCAGUUCGGACUGGGGUCUGCAACCCGACCCCACGAAGCUGGAUUCGCUAGUAAUCGCGCAUCAGCCAUGGCGCGGUGAAUACGUUCCCGGGCCUUGUACACACCGCCCGUCAAGCCAUGAAAGCCGGGGGCGCCUAAAGUCCGUGACCGUAAGGAGCGGCCUAGGGCGAAACUGGUAAUUGGGGCUAAGUCGUAACAAGGUA
Molecule: ribosomal RNA, 1211 nt
Filed under: metagenome
Description: bacterial SSU rRNA
Rfam family: Bacterial small subunit ribosomal RNA
Source: RNAcentral